This 858-nucleotide ribosomal RNA is filed under the name Bifidobacterium adolescentis. RNAcentral describes it as "bacterial SSU rRNA". It matches the Rfam family "Bacterial small subunit ribosomal RNA", at positions 72 to 938 of the family's 1533-position model. The record is from RNAcentral. Lineage: Bacteria; Bacillati; Actinomycetota; Actinomycetes; Bifidobacteriales; Bifidobacteriaceae.
CCAGGAGCUUGCUCCUGGGUGAGAGUGGCGAACGGGUGAGUAAUGCGUGACCGACCUGCCCCAUACACCGGAAUAGCUCCUGGAAACGGGUGGUAAUGCCGGAUGCUCCAGUUGAAUGCAUGGCCCUCUGGGAAAGCUUCAUCGGUAUGGGAUGGGGUCGCGUCCUAUCAGCUUGAUGGCGGGGUAACGGCCCACCAUGGCUUCGACGGGUAGCCGGCCUGAGAGGGCGACCGGCCACAUUGGGACUGAGAUACGGCCCAGACUCCUACGGGAGGCAGCAGUGGGGAAUAUUGCACAAUGGGCGCAAGCCUGAUGCAGCGACGCCGCGUGCGGGAUGACGGCCUUCGGGUUGUAAACCGCUUUUGACUGGGAGCAAGCCCUUCGGGGUGAGUGUACCUUUCGAAUAAGCACCGGCUAACUACGUGCCAGCAGCCGCGGUAAUACGUAGGGUGCAAGCGUUAUCCGGAAUUAUUGGGCGUAAAGGGCUCGUAGGCGGUUCGUCGCGUCCGGUGUGAAAGUCCAUCGCUUAACGGUGGAUCCGCGCCGGGUACGGGCGGGCUUGAGUGCGGUAGGGGAGACUGGAAUUCCCGGUGUAACGGUGGAAUGUGUAGAUAUCGGGAAGAACACCAAUGGCGAAGGCAGGUCUCUGGGCCGUCACUGACGCUGAGGAGCGAAAGCGUGGGGAGCGAACAGGAUUAGAUACCCUGGUAGUCCACGCCGUAAACGGUGGAUGCUGGAUGUGGGGACCAUUCCACGGUCUCCGUGUCGGAGCCAACGCGUUAAGCAUCCCGCCUGGGGAGUACGGCCGCAAGGCUAAAACUCAAAGAAAUUGACGGGGGCCCGCACAAGCGGCGGAGC